This 368-nucleotide long non-coding RNA is filed under the name Setaria viridis. RNAcentral's name for it is "long non-coding RNA (SVIR_LNC008067)". The record is from RNAcentral. Lineage: Eukaryota; Viridiplantae; Streptophyta; Magnoliopsida; Poales; Poaceae.
GGAUGGACAUCUAGGACGAGGGAUGAGGUUGAAUUAAAAAUAGAAGUUGGAGGACUAAAUUGGCUUAAUUGAAAGUGAGGGACGAAUUUGAGCCUCUAAUAAAAGUUGUUGAGGGUUGAAAUUGCCUAUUUUGGCAAAAAAAAUUUAGGUAACAACUGUCUGAACCACUGUACAUUCAUUGAAUUGGGCCCACGCUUUGCUCAAUGUUGUCCAUGCAAAUUUUUUUAUUUUUUUUAUUUUUUAUUUUAUUAUUUUGCAAAAAUAUAUGGUCUAAAAAAAUUGCAAAUCUAGACCUUUACUACCGUUUGAAAUGGUAUAAGGUGUACUGUAGCAAGCUACCACCAGUUGAACCAACGGUAACUUCCCAC